Molecule: ribosomal RNA, 427 nt
Filed under: uncultured Luteimonas sp.
Lineage: Bacteria; Pseudomonadati; Pseudomonadota; Gammaproteobacteria; Lysobacterales; Lysobacteraceae
Description: bacterial SSU rRNA
Rfam family: Bacterial small subunit ribosomal RNA
Source: RNAcentral
UGGGGAAUAUUGGACAAUGGGCGCAAGCCUGAUCCAGCCAUACCGCGUGGGUGAAGAAGGCCUUCGGGUUGUAAAGCCCUUUUGUUGGGAAAGAAAUCCUGUCGGCUAAUACCCGGUAGGGAUGACGGUACCCAAAGAAUAAGCACCGGCUAACUUCGUGCCAGCAGCCGCGGUAAUACGAAGGGUGCAAGCGUUACUCGGAAUUACUGGGCGUAAAGCGUGCGUAGGUGGUUCGUUAAGUCUGAUGUGAAAGCCCUGGGCUCAACCUGGGAAUUGCACUGGAUACUGGCGGGCUAGAGUGCGGUAGAGGAUGGCGGAAUUCCCGGUGUAGCAGUGAAAUGCGUAGAGAUCGGGAGGAACAUCUGUGGCGAAGGCGGCCAUCUGGACCAGCACUGACACUGAGGCACGAAAGCGUGGGGAGCAAACA